This 291-nucleotide long non-coding RNA is filed under the name Ananas comosus (pineapple). RNAcentral describes it as "long non-coding RNA (ACOM_LNC025728)". The record is from RNAcentral. Lineage: Eukaryota; Viridiplantae; Streptophyta; Magnoliopsida; Poales; Bromeliaceae.
CAAUCUUUUAAAGUUUUAAUUUUACUAUCCAGCUUUUCAAUUUUUUUUUGCUUUGAGUCGUCAAUACUAUUUUGACUUUAAAAUUUAAGCUAAUAACUUAUUUUAAUAAAUUUAUGAUUGAGAGAAUUGCAUGAAAUACACUAAAUAGACCUAUAAGGAUAAUUGAUAUAUUCAAAAUUUAAAGUCAAAAUAUCAUUAACUUACUCAAAUCAAACAAAUUGAAAGAUUAUGUAGUAAAAGCAUAAUUUGAAAUGUUGGGGCAGUCAAUUCAAAAUGGUUCUUACUUUUGAU